CCGUUUCGCUGCGACACACCGCAACGAAACUGCCCCCGCAAAGGUCGCUACAAACCACUCUUCAUACCAUACAUCUCCACACACACACACGCGCGCGCGCACCAUUGGGGGCGAGCCUCCUCGCUCCUCGCGCACGGGGUCACAUCCAUCACGGACGGGGGGAGGGGCAGACGGCGAAAAGAGAACGAAAAGAGGUGCACAGGCACGCGUGGCGGAACCGAGUUCGUCUUUGCGGUGGAGCCGUUGGAAGCAGGAGGCGUGCGCGCGUGCUGCACGCGUCCAACGACAUCGCCGCCUACCCACCCCAUCACCGUCUGUAUGUGUGUGUCUGUCUGUCUGCAUGUUGGUGUGGGCUCGUGUUUCUCACGUGAAGUACACCAGUGCCACGGAUGCGCACAAGCACACACGGAGAUAGGGAGAGAACGAUCCAUUAUCAUCCCAUCAUCGUCCGCAGCAGCGCGGCCCUCCUGUGCUUCUCCGUCUUGCCGUCGGUCUCUCACGUGUCCAGUGUGUCUCCGUCUCUGUGCUUCCGCUUGCUUGAUCCGUACGUGGGGAGGACAAGGCCUGGGCGAGUGCCCUGUAAAAAGCGCGAGAUCACACACUGCCCAUGGAGGAGGCCCCCUGCUCCUCCAAGACGGACACCGGCGCCGCGACUGAAGCGAAGACGAGUACGACAGCGGCAGCUGGGGCGAGCAGCAGCACAGGUGUGGUGAAGGCGAAGUCGUCGUAUCGUGAGCUGUGCAGGCCGACGUCGCUCUUCCCCCCGCCCGCACUCUCUCAUGCGACGCCGGAUGGAAGCAACCGAAUCAGCACGCCGAGCAGCUCGGCGCCGCCGCCGCCGCCGCUGUCGCCGACGCUGCGUGACCGCGCGGCCGCUGUGAAGGAGGGCGGCCACAACACGAACAGCAGCGGUGCCGGUGGCUCCCGUCUCUCUGGCACGAGCUGGGCGCGCCUCACAACGACGAGGCGCGUUAGCCGGACCACAGAGGCCCUUCGCCCUCCUCCUCUUGUGCUGCACGCCACCGAGAACGACGCAAGCAGCGGGCAGGGUACGACGGUGGCAACGACUGAAGGUGCAACGGCCGCCACGGUGGAAUCUGGCCACCCGCGCGUGCACAACCGCAGCAUCACCUCCACGGAAGACCUUCAACUUGCCGUCGCCGUCCCGUACUGGACCUCGAGCCUUCACGACAUGCUGGCGCCAUCGCUACUCACCGCGGCAGCAGCAGCAGCAGCGGUGACGCGUUUCGCUACGCAUAGCAGCAGCCGCAGAAACGCAGUUACCGGUAGCGGCGCGCGUGAGCCAUGUUCUUCACCACGCGCCUGCCCUAUGCAGAGAGCGAUGCAGCACGCCCUCGCGCAUGUCUUGCAGCGAGAGCGGGUGCGAGCGCUCAUCACCCGCGCCUUGCACUUGUGGCACCUGCACCGCGCACUUCGGCGGCACGGACGGCAACAUGGCGAUAGAGAAACCGCCGAUGGAGUGGAGGGGCGACGAGAGACGCCGUCACCGACGUCCCGCGUCGGCCAAAGACGUCAAGGCAAGCCGUCGGCAUCCCGGCUGGCGUGGACCCCGCUCGGUGACGUCGGCAUCGGCGUGCGCUGCGGCGGCAUCGCCUCCGACGAAGGCACCGUCUACAUCGAUGCCGACGGUGAGGAGGAACUGCACGACGUGGACGACGGCGCAGAGGUGCCACGACACACAGAGCUGCAGCGGUGCCAACAGCAGCGGCAUCACCGCGGCCGCCGUACCACCGACGGCGACUCCAGCCUGUCGGAUGCGGGCGCCCACGUGGACGGUGCUUACGACCGUGUCGACAACCCAGGCACCUCGACGCGGCCGCUGGCGCCAGCGAGCCGCAGCAGCGUCGCCCCCGUCAUCGGCGCCGCAUCCCGGGCCACCAGCAUUGUCCCCCCGCUCUCGGCGCUGAGCAACGCGUCGCAAAGCCAGUCGCUGGCUCGCGACAUGUCGUUCACGUCGGUGAGAUGGUCGAUGAGUUGUCCGUUCCAGACACCGCUGCAGCCGCAGCGGCAAGACGAGCUGUGCAGCACAUCUUUCCCCCAGACGCCAGUGGCGGCGUCCGUGCCAGAGAGCAGAACCGCCGACGGCGCCGGGGUCUCGCUCUCCGUCGGCGCUGCAGCGCUCGCCGAAGCAGCAGCCGGGUCGCUAGGGAGCGCGGGCGCCACAGGAACCACCGUGACCGCGGAAGCGGCAGCGGAGCGGCGGAAGCGCAUCGUGCAGAACCCCCUCUCCAGCAAGUCACCACGGAACGCGUCACCGCACCAGUGCCUCCACAACUGGCUCUCCAGCGGUGUCGGUGGUGGUUCAACGUCGAGCUUCGAUGACUCGGGCUCCCGACCGCAAUCGUGCUUGCAGUCGGACAGGGAGGCGAUCGCUGCGCAAGGGGGCCCCCCCUUGUGUCUGCGCCGCCUACGCAGCGGCGCUGGCGGCGGAGCGGGACUCAUCGCGAGCGACUCGGAGGACCGCAGCAUCUCAUCGCUGAUAAAUACGCCGCAGGGCCGCCAGACGGACGCUGCCAGUAGCUGCAGCGGUGCUUGGGGGCCGUUGAAAGACGGUGACUCCACACACAGCGACAGCACGUCACCGAUGCCGACGGUCACAGCAACGACGGUUCCUCAGCUGCUGGCGCGCGAGGCGGAAGACCGGCUGGCGUUGCAGACAACAGAGGAGCGACGGCGCCUCCGCCUUCUGCGCGGCAUGUCCGCCGUUAUGGAUCAGCUCAUGAUGGCGGCGCUACAUCAUCGAUCGGGUGAGCGUGGCUUGCACCCCUCGUUGCGCACCUCCACCGCACCAUCGCCGGUGCUUUUAGAGAGCGACGACGGUUGUGGCAUGGACUUCCUGUGCGCCUGCACUGCGGAGACGCAAAAUGAAGGCACCACGAGGGGUAGCGCAGGGGCCAUCGAACCAGCAGCAUCGGCUCGCGAACCCCGGCCCUCCUUGCCACCUCCAGUCCUGCAGGCCGCCACGUCUAGGAGAACGCAGCAGCGAUUGAAUUACGACGGUGAUGUGGAGUGCACGCAGCAGCAUCUGCAACGAAGUGGGCGCAUCGAGGGGGAGGAGGGCUGCCUGUGCGACGUGACCGCCAAGAAUGCCGAGCGUUGCGUGAGCCGCGACAGUGCCGAGGCGGUUGAUAUGGCUACUAGUCCUAGCAAGUGCUCAUCGCAAACCUUGGGGUCCACAAGCCAGUGGGGCGCGCACGUGCUCGACGCCGUCACGAUCACAACAGACAGUCAUAGCAGCGUGGUUUUUCCAGUCACGAGCAUCGCGCCGACGUCGCACUUCACGCCCUGCUGAUGCCGUCAUCCGCGUUCUCGUAGAGAGUUCGUCUUCGCGCGGCGCGUAACGGUGAACAGCGCUGAGAAGCGCGUCUUUUUUUUUUGUUGUUGUUGUUGUUGUUUCUCUGUUCGUUGCUCUUCUUCAGCCGUCUCGCUACAGCACUCAUGACGGGGUGGUUGGCGCAUCUGCAAAGUCUGUGCCACGCGAGGAGGGACACCGUGAAAGGCGACGCUGCACAGGGAUAGAAGUGCCGCGGCGACGCUCGGCGCAUCUCCCCACCCCUCCCCUUCUUCCCCACCCACCCGUGCUGGAUGGCGAGAAAGAGGCUGCCCGCAUACCUGUCACGCGGUCCAGCAAGCCUGGACGCGCGUUGUCCAAAACCGAAGGUGCACGCCGACGUGAGCGCCCAUGUGCGUGGACGAAGGCUCUGCGCCAUGCCAUGGAAGAGGAGGAGGACGACGACGACGACGACGACGAUCGCGUCACACGUGUGGAAGCGAGCCCGAGCGCUCACGGCGCGUGGACGACGAUGAACGACUUGAUCGCCGCAACGGAUGGAAGGAAAAGGUUCCGUCGUCGGGCGAGCGUCGAGCGUGCAGCGGUAGAGCGAGCCCGCUGUGCUUAUAUAUAGAUAAAUCCGCCAGACUAUCAUGCUGCCUAUGGACCACACCACCACCACCACCACCACCCUCCCUCUCUCCCUCCCUCCUGAAGGGAGGGAAGGAGGGGAAGGGCCUGGCAUCGUGCACGGUGCGAUGCGCAUGUCCUUCAUCACGUCCUCGUGCGUCGUUACACGACGGCACAGCAGCAGCGCGUGUCUGUGUGUGCGCGCGCGGCAGCGUCGGAAGCCCGUGGGGGGGGGGAGCGCCGAGCCAGCGCGUCUUUGCGUGCGUGUGUUGUCGGGGUCUCGAGCAACUCCCCAUGGAAAAUGGCGUGCGGGUGGGAUGGGGGGUGCAGUGCGUGCGCUGAGGGAACAGUGUUGGCGCACACGCACUGCUCAAGAAGCGUCAUCCGGCUGCUUUCGUUUAUCUUAUCGCUUCUUUUGGUGCUUUUCUGCGGCUGUUGCGGUGGUGGUGGUGGUGGUGGUGGUGAAGCGUCCGUGUGGCGUGCACGACCGUGAUGACGCUUCACCCUCCUCCUCCUCUCUCCACUGCUCCUGAGCAGCGCAACCUCACGACCCCAUCGUCCGUGUCCGCCACGGCGCAGCACCUCAUUUCU
Molecule: unclassified non-coding RNA, 4513 nt
Filed under: Leishmania donovani
Lineage: Eukaryota; Euglenozoa; Kinetoplastea; Trypanosomatida; Trypanosomatidae
Description: gene:LdHU3.01.0730(CDS-product:hypothetical_prote in_conserved)
Source: RNAcentral